UGCAGUCGAGCGGUAGCACAGAGAGCUUGCUCUCGGGUGACGAGCGGCGGACGGGUGAGUAAUGUCUGGGAAACUGCCUGAUGGAGGGGGAUAACUACUGGAAACGGUAGCUAAUACCGCAUAACGUCGCAAGACCAAAGUGGGGGACCUUCGGGCCUCAUGCCAUCAGAUGUGCCCAGAUGGGAUUAGCUAGUAGGUGGGGUAACGGCUCACCUAGGCGACGAUCCCUAGCUGGUCUGAGAGGAUGACCAGCCACACUGGAACUGAGACACGGUCCAGACUCCUACGGGAGGCAGCAGUGGGGAAUAUUGCACAAUGGGCGCAAGCCUGAUGCAGCCAUGCCGCGUGUGUGAAGAAGGCCUUCGGGUUGUAAAGCACUUUCAGCGGGGAGGAAGGCGAUGAGGUUAAUAACCUUGUCGAUUGACGUUACCCGCAGAAGAAGCACCGGCUAACUCCGUGCCAGCAGCCGCGGUAAUACGGAGGGUGCAAGCGUUAAUCGGAAUUACUGGGCGUAAAGCGCACGCAGGCGGUCUGUCAAGUCGGAUGUGAAAUCCCCGGGCUCAACCUGGGAACUGCAUUCGAAACUGGCAGGCUAGAGUCUUGUAGAGGGGGGUAGAAUUCCAGGUGUAGCGGUGAAAUGCGUAGAGAUCUGGAGGAAUACCGGUGGCGAAGGCGGCCCCCUGGACAAAGACUGACGCUCAGGUGCGAAAGCGUGGGGAGCAAACAGGAUUAGAUACCCUGGUAGUCCACGCCGUAAACGAUGUCGAUUUGGAGGUUGUGCCCUUGAGGCGUGGCUUCCGGAGCUAACGCGUUAAAUCGACCGCCUGGGGAGUACGGCCGCAAGGUUAAAACUCAAAUGAAUUGACGGGGGCCCGCACAAGCGGUGGAGCAUGUGGUUUAAUUCGAUGCAACGCGAAGAACCUUACCUGGUCUUGACAUCCACAGAAUUUUCCAGAGAUGGAUUGGUGCCUUCGGGAACUGUGAAACAGGUGCUGCAUGGCUGUCGUCAGCUCGUGUUGUGAAAUGUUGGGUUAAGUCCCGCAACGAGCGCAACCCUUAUCCUUUGUUGCCAGCGGUUAGGCCGGGAACUCAAAGGAAACUGCCAUUGAUAAACUGGAGGAAAGGUGGGGAAUGACGUCAAGUCAUCAUGGCCCGUUACGACCAGGGCUAC
RNAcentral lists this ribosomal RNA (1171 nucleotides) under Klebsiella sp. Its description in RNAcentral is "bacterial SSU rRNA". It matches the Rfam family "Bacterial small subunit ribosomal RNA", at positions 56 to 1217 of the family's 1533-position model. Lineage: Bacteria; Pseudomonadati; Pseudomonadota; Gammaproteobacteria; Enterobacterales; Enterobacteriaceae. The record is from RNAcentral.